RNAcentral lists this ribosomal RNA (253 nucleotides) under uncultured bacterium. Its description in RNAcentral is "partial 16S ribosomal RNA". It matches the Rfam family "Bacterial small subunit ribosomal RNA", at positions 524 to 776 of the family's 1533-position model. The record is from RNAcentral.
UACAGAGGUGGCUAGCGUUGUUCGGAUUUAUUGGGCGUAAAGGGUCCGUAGGCGGCCUGAAAAGUCGGAUGUGAAAGCCCACAGCUUAACUGUGGAACGGCAUUCGAAACUCUCAGGCUCGAGUGUGAAAGGGGUAAAGGGAAUUCCCGGUGUAAGGGUGAAAUCUGUAGAGAUCGGGAAGAACACCAGUCGCGAAGGCGCUUUACUGGUUCACAACUGACGCUGAGGGACGAAAGCUAGGGGAGCAAACGGG